RNAcentral lists this microRNA (21 nucleotides) under Gallus gallus (chicken). Its description in RNAcentral is "microRNA Ros-gga". Lineage: Eukaryota; Metazoa; Chordata; Aves; Galliformes; Phasianidae. The record is from RNAcentral.
ACAGUCUUCUGCACAUUGGUU